CCUACGGGUGGCAGCAGUGGGGAAUAUUGGGCAAUGGGCGAAAGCCUGACCCAGCAACGCCGCGUGAAGGAAGAAGGCUUUCGGGUUGUAAACUUCUUUUGACAGGGAAGAGCAGAAGACGGUACCUGUCGAAUAAGCCACGGCUAACUACGUGCCAGCAGCCGCGGUAAUACGGAGGUGGCAAGCGUUGGCCGGAUUUACGGGGUGGAAAGGGCGUGUAGCCGGGCUGACAAGUCAGAUGGGAAAUCCGGGGGCUCACCCCCCGAACUGCAUUUGAAACUGUUGGUCUUGAGUAUCGGAGAGGCAGGCGGAAUUCCUAGUGUAGCGGUUAAAUGCGUAGAUAUUAGGAGGAACACCAGUGGCGAAGGCGGCCUGCUGGACGACAACUGACGGUGAGGCGCGAAAGCGUGGGGAGCAAACAGGAUUAGAUACCCCGGUAGUC
Molecule: ribosomal RNA, 442 nt
Filed under: uncultured bacterium
Lineage: Bacteria
Description: partial 16S ribosomal RNA
Rfam family: Bacterial small subunit ribosomal RNA
Source: RNAcentral